UACGGGGGGGGUAAGCGUUGUUCGGAAUUACUGGGCGUAAAGGGCUCGUAGGCGGCCAACUAAGUCGGACGUGAAAUCCCUCAGCUUAACUGGGGAACUGCGUCCGAUACUGGAUGGCUUGGAUUUGGGAGAGGGAAGCGGAAUUCCAGGUGUAGCGGUGAAAUGCGUAGAUAUCUGGAGGAACACCGGUGGCGAAGGCGGCGUUCUGGACUGCAACUGACACUGUAAAACGAAAGCCAGGGGAGCAAACGGG
RNAcentral lists this ribosomal RNA (253 nucleotides) under uncultured bacterium. Its description in RNAcentral is "partial 16S ribosomal RNA". It matches the Rfam family "Bacterial small subunit ribosomal RNA", at positions 524 to 776 of the family's 1533-position model. The record is from RNAcentral.